GUUCAAUUCUGAAUGCCAUAGUUGGAUGUAGUUACUUGUCAGUUAGCAUUAUUAAUGGACUUACCGGCGACUUCCGAUAACUCUCCAGUAAUGCGCUCUUGCAGUAUAACCUAUAAGUUUGGAAAGUCAUACUUCAACUAAGGAGUGUGGGAAUGAGGUCGAAGGAGCAUAAGAAUGGAAGGCUAAAUAAAUAAUGAGAAGUUUCUUUGUUACGUGUAUUGGGAAUGCUAAUCCAGAGCUCUGGUAUGAAAAAAGGCAAGUAUAAGUCUGGGGUGUUCUCAUCUCAGUGCAACGUGUGAAAUGGCUUAGUAAAGAGAGAGAUCUUUGGAUAUCGGCAAAGUCAGAGAAGAAGGUGUUUAUACUACGAAUAUCUUCCGAUUCGGAAAAGCAAAUAGAGAAAAUAGAGAAGAUAUCGCGAAAGGAAGCGAACGAAGUCACCUUGUAAGAAAGUUGCCUGCCUUAAUAGCCCACCCGUAUGUAGUCCAAAUUCCUUUAUACGCCUUAGUAGCCCACCCGUAUGUAGUCCAAAUUACUCUAUAAGUUGUGGUUGUUAGUUCAAAGUAGGCCGCUUCAGUCCAGUCAAUCAAGCAUUCCAUCGAAGCAGUAGGACUCGAGAUAACCUCUCCUGUCGAGCAGAGAUCACCUAUCUCAAACAACAACGAGAGAGAUCACUGAAGCAUAAGGGGAUAUCAACAUACUGUGACACUCGGGAGAAACUCUCCAGUACAUGGGCCAAGUAACGACUACAAAAGCAAUGAAAACAGGACAGGCUAGUAAAACAUAUUCUAUUUAUAGUACCUAAUGAAUAGUAUAUGUUAUUGGGAGUACAGUACCCAUAUUAGUAGAGUGCGGUUCAUAAAGUGGAGAGUAAGGAUCAAGCCCAUACUCCGUUUCAAGAUCAGAAGCGGAAGAGAUAGAAUGCAGCAGGAUAAGAAUCAAUUAAGGGAUCUGUUGCCGAAGCCUAAUCUCCUCUUUCUUUUGUAUGCCCACUUAGUUUCAUUCUGCCUUUGAUGUUGAGAGCACUAGGUGAGUUACCGGCUUCCAUUGGAACCCUAUUGCCUAAUUCUUCUGUUUCCAAUGUGACUCCUUCAGCCUAUUAAUUAAGGUGCUGAAAGCCUACCGGUAUGAAACUCGAAAAGGAAAGUCGACGAAAGAAUCAGAAGUAGGUACCACUCCUAUAAGAUAGAAUAUAAAUUGUAUCAGAAGCGGGGCCAAGCAACGCAAAGACAACUAGAAUAAUCAACUUACAUAUAGUAGAUUUAAUAGUUGUUAUUACAAUACCCGUUUUGGGGGCCGCUCAGUAAUAACGAACUUAUUUAUGAACUUCAAGUCCCGUGUUCGAGGCCAAGCCACUAAAUCAAUCCCUUGUGCAUUAGCUUACUUUCCAGGGGUGUGCCAACAGUCUCUGAUUGGGCUACUAUUCCCAUUGAUUUGACUAUUCCUAUUGAUUUGACUCUGAUUACUCUGAUUUGGCUACUAUUCCUAUUCCUAUUGAUUUGAUCUGAAGCUGCUGCAAUUGAUAAGUAAGCGCGGGUCAGGCCUGUAUCAACUAUUCUGCAACUAAGAAGCUAAGGAAGGACCUACCACAGCUCGAAGUAGAAAGUGGUUCGUUGAAAAGAAAAGAGUGAGUAAUGAGUCCUGUUUUCGGGAGCUCAACAAAGAUAUAAAGUAAGGGGAAUAAACCGGUACUGGGUUGGUGCUUACGCUCUGCUCUAGGUCGAGGCCUCUAUAAGAAGUGAAGGGUGCUAAAACAAAAGAAGUAGGGGCGGGAAGCUAGUCCAGAGUCGAGGCCAGCAAGGUCAGAAUCACACCCAGGAGUUACAGAAUGCAACCAGUAUAACAGAGAGUUGAACCCAGUAGUCACAGAAUUGACCUAAGCGGUUUAAGAGUGGAGCUAGGCAUAGUAAGACUAUGGUUCCGAGUCAAGGAAAACUGUAAUGGAAUCUCUCGAGCAAGCAUCCACUGAAUAGAAUCCUUCUUGCUACUAUUAUAGAUAUCCGUAAACAACCUCUGAAAACUCUAAUUGUAUUAGAUGAAGAAACACCUCUCUCUCAUAGACCGACGUAAAAAACAGAAGAACUGACCCACCUAACCCAGGGCGGGGGAGACCCUCUUCCUUCUAUCAUACCUAGGCAGGGUACAAGUAGAAUAUAGUACCUUAGCCCCGCGGGUAACAAGAAUUCUUUCAGUUGCAUCAGUGGAUUCUGCUUCCUUCCGCCUCGGACAAAACUGGGUUGUUCAGUGGCUUGGCUCCUCUUAAACUAGUUGAGUUGUUCUUUCGCUCCUCUAGCUUGUAUGCAGCCUGUGCAGUGUAAGUUGUGUGGUUGCUGAGGCCGAAAACCGGGUAAGGGCAGCCUCGUUAGUAUUAGCUAAAGUCUUAGUUCCGAGUCGAGUUCACUGGGUCCCAACACUGCAGAUAAGUCUUAUUAGCUUCAGACUUCUUCUUAUUCUUAUUACCAAUACAGGGAGUGGGCGCAGGCCUAGAGACAAGAGAGUAAGUCCGAGAGACAGGAGAAGCGGAGGUGAACUAAAGAUUAUAGGGCGGGAUGAUAAGAAUUCGAUAAGUAACGACUGGGCGUUAAGGCAGGCAAGACAGAACACAAGCAAGGGGCAUAAGAGCGAAAAGCUAGAGAGGUUGUUUGAAGGGAACAAGUAAGGCGGUGGAUAUGAAAAGUCAAGAUCCGGAUCAGUAGCGAAAGCCCCAGUUUCUAGUUCCAAAGUAGUAGUGAGUUUCGAGUUUGUGGUCUGAUAUAGUGGAGCCUUACUAUGGGUAGCGCAAUUAUGAUUAUUCUAGGAAUUCGACUUUCAAGGCGGAAGUGGAAGUUUAGCCCGUAUCGGAGUUAACAGUUAAAGUAGAAGUUUAGCCCGUAUCGGAGUUAACAGUUAAAGUAUUAGAAGCUGUAGCUCCAUUCUGGAUUUAGUAGUUCAAUCCCCUGUUAUUAGUUUAUUUCCGACUUUUGAUUGAAAGUAGUAGAAGCGCUCAGUAUCAUAAGAAUCAAAGCGGUGUGCCCCAGAAAAGAAGCCUUAUCUUUAUCUUCAUCUGUUGUCCAAUUCCCCAUCACAAGAGAAAUUCCACAUCACAAGAGAAAGUAGUAGAGGAACCAGCCCAAGUCCUAUCAACUGGUAGUUAAGCCUAUAUUCCCUGUUAUAAGUAAAAGGAGAGGUAGCAAUAGAGGAGUUCCCGGUUUUGAGUUGAGUUCCUUUGCUCUUGUUUCCGGCUAUCGGGGUAGUGCUGCGCUCUCUUGCUUACUAUUUAGAUUCUGUGACUUAAGCCUGUGAGCCUGUAUACCGACCUUAGAUAAGCUAUACGGACCUGUGACUUAAGCCUGUGAGCAUGUAUACUGACCUUAGAUAAGCUGUUCUGUUAGCUACUGAUACGGAGCCUUACCAAUCAAUCUGCGCUUGCUUUUUGUCCUAAACAGAUGCUGCCACCUAUAAGAGUUGAGCUCGUUAAGGGGCUGCCGCGUAUAAUUAGUAGUUACUUGGCGGCCCUUGAAGAAAGUCUUCUCAUAAUUCUAAUACCACUAUACUUGCUAGUUCGUGUUUCAUUGAGGCGGUCGGAGAGUAAGGCCUGGGAGUGGAGGGUAAGAAAUCAGAAUGAGUUGACUUACUUGGCGGGUAGGGUAGUUCAGAAUUCCAUCUAUCUUUCUUGCGCUUCAGAAAGCAAUAAUCUAGGUUGUUAAGGGCAAUCUGGCCUCUCUCUACGACAACAAAAGAACCGACAACUUGACUUGCUACUGACUUUAGCACUGACUUGAGUCUUCCCCUCGUAAAUGCUUCACAGCCGUAUUCUUCUCCUUCAGAUGAGAAAGCUGCUGACCUUACCUUUGGCACAGCUCCUUAUCUAGCUUAUGAUAUGGUUCCGGGUUAACUCUUAACUCUUUGAUAUGUUUCUUAUGCUUCUGGAACAAUACUUGAUACUGGUACAAUACUUUAAUCAGGAUACUGGUACACAAACAAGGAGCUCGACGAAGACGAAAACAGGACUUGAAGACCAGAUUGCUGCUGUACUUAGAAGAAAGACUUCCUUAACAUUAAACUCAGAAUGAAACUACUUCCACUUUCCCUGCAGGAUUUGUUGCUCUAGUACUGUUGCUUGGCCCCCUUUCUUAACCGCCAACACCGAGAUGAGAGACAACACUAGCAACCGACCUUUCAAAGUACAGAAUUGGAUCUAUCUCUUGCUGUUAGCGCCCUUGCUCGUUCUCUACUAAUUGAGUAUUCUUGACUUCCUUCCUGUUUCUACUCAAUCCUCUGAUCUUAUAGUAGUAGCUUCUUGAACUAAACUAUCUUAUUGCCUCAACAUUAGCGGAAUCCUUCUUGCCCUAGUAAAGAUGCUGGGCGAGGAAAGUAUACCCUUUCUUUCUUGGUAUCGAUUUCACCCCUACUUCUGGUCGUUUAAGCCAUAUUCCACUCAGAUUAUUAACAGAAAGCGAAAUUCCCUAUCCUGUAUCCGGAUGUUCUAUGGCAUUUCUCCUAUAAUCUUGAUGAUUCCCUUGCACUUGAGCUUGAUGGUCGAAUUGAAUCUAGCGUGACUACACAUAUAGAAGUCAGCAACCGAUAACUCUACUACAUACUCUAAACAACAGAGCUUUGCUUCCUUUACGAACCCCAGAAAAAAGUACAUUCUCCUAUGGCCAAACCACUGACAAAUAAGCCUUAUGAAGCGCUAAGUACUCUUAUGGCCAGCGCCCCAGCAUCUUACCUUUGACUUCCUUACCUUACUUGACUUUCCUCGCAUUGCGGAUGCAGAUUCUAUAUGGGAUGAAACUAGGGAUUCUGGAUACUCCACUCAAGAAUGAGCUUUAUCUGAAGCCUAAGAUGGAUCGGAAGAAGGUACUCGUUCUUGCGCUUGUGUCUAAGGCGGACGCUCCUUGUCGUAGGUAUAGAUAAGAAAAGUUCGGUGAUUGGACUGGACCACUACUCGGUAGAGCCAAGCAUUCAAGUUCAGGUCAGGCUGUAAACACCUAUAUUUCUCGUUCUUUAACCGUUGUUCUAUUUCUCGUUCUUUAACCCAUGUUUUUAGACUCUUCUUCAAGCUGUGGUGCACUGCACUCACUCUAUUCUAUUCCUUAUAGUCAGGGCGGAAGCCAGGGCGCUAAGCAAGAACAAGUACGUUAAGGGAGCAGCUUUCCUCAAGUCCUAUUCCUAGUGCUAACGUUAGCAGCUUUCCUCAAGUCCUAUUUCUAUGCUAUGUACAGUAUAUUCUAUUCCGUAUGAGUUUUGUUUACUUCAGACUCCACUGUCUUUACAGCGCGGGUAAUUAUAGAAUCAGAGGUCUAACUCUCAUAAGCCGAUGAAGACAAGAAGUCUCCUAUAUACGAAGUAGAAGCAGUGCAAUGAAAGUCGACUCGAGAAUCAACAGUUACAAGUGAAGAAGUAGUUACAGGUCCAGUAUAAAGGUUCGGUGUUGGACUCGGGGCUCGAAACAAGUGUGUUAGAGAGGGUCGGUUGAUAGAGGUGCAAGUGUGGCUCCUGCGCAGGUUUCGUAUACAAGUCCAGGUGCUCAAGAGCUUCAAUUACAUUCUGACUUGAUCAUAUUAGGGUACUAAAUGUAAGCCAUUCCUAUUCUUAGUGUACUACUUUCCAUUAGGGUGGAAUCCGGGCCAAGCGUUAGCCGAGUAACUACUAUACAAGUCGACAAGUCCUUUAUUCGAGCGUUAGUAUAUAGGCUCACGGUCAAGUUGUUGAAUGAGGGGAAGGUCUUACUUCUUUCUAUGCCCCAUGUGCAAGAUGCAAGAUCACAGAGGGAUAUUCCAUUCUUACAAAGUACUAAUUCCACUCAUAAGUCCAAGGCGGAAAUCACUGAUAAACAAGGAUAUAGCUCCAAACAAACUGGUUUAGUCCACCGCUCCUGUGUCCCUCAACCCACCUCUCUUUGUUUUGCGUAUUACUCUCUUCGCUAUUAGUCUCACUUUCUCUGCCUUCGUUCUGUAGCUAUUGAUAUCGAACCUUGCUUCGCCUACCUUAAAGCAGCCCUUGCUUGCUUUAUUUAUUUCACUUCUGCCUAUAAGCCCGCCUUUACUGCCUUACAUGCUUGCUUAACGCCCCAAACAUUGGAUUCUUUCCGUACUACCCUAGCUCUAAAGCUCAUACAACUUCUUUUUCUUCUAAUGAGUACUGAUCUUAACUCUGUCAUUCCUAUUUCUGAGUAAGAGCCUUGCUUCACUGCCUCUAGGUCCCAUAUUGCUUUAUCUCAUUCCCCAACUCCAAACCCUAGCUCUAGAAUUCAAUAAAGUAUAACUCAACUACAAAGUUGGAAAUACAAAUUAUUGUUUCAGUGUAUAAGAAUGAUACUAGGCAUUAACAGAAUGAAAACACCACUAAAGAAAACAACUAUAGGGCAAGUAAGCCAACAACUAGGGAUGCAAUAAAGAAGUACGACCCAAGGACUGAAACAAAGAAUCGUGAAAGGAAUACAGGAUUCAACCAAGGAAGGGUUUACUAGUAAGCAGGCAAUGCAGACUUAAAUCAAGGCAGAGCAGCUUAGCUUUAAGGCCAGCUAGCAUAGGAUCCGAAUCAGGAGUUACAGCAUACAAGUCCGGAUGUUGAAGAAUGAGAAUUAGAUGCUGCAAAGCAAGGUUCAAACUAAGAAGGAAUGUACCCCCUAUAAGCCUUAAAGUGAGGAUAUCUUCUGAUAGUUAGAAGUUUAUGGGUGAGCAGCAAAGUGAACGGCAAAGUGAACGGCAAAUGAAACAUCUUAUUAAGGGAAGUGAACGGCAAGUGUAUCAAGUGAACGGCAAGGGGGACGGCAAUGAGUUAAAGCAUGUAAGCAGUAGUGCAAGUCCGUAGUUUGCUUCUAAGUCUUCUACUGCGUUGGAUCCGAUUUGAUCGUACCUGAGUUCUUUGCCGCCCGCCGCCCAUUCAGAAUUCUUAGGGUUAGAGUUCCGUUUGUAGCUCCCUGUUAUGAGUUAAAGAAUGAGUCUUAGUUCCGAGUGGUCUUAGUUGAGAGUUGAGUUCCCGUAGUUAGUAGUUACAGUCGGAUAUAGUUGGUGGGUUCCUUGGCUAACGCUUGGAGGUAGUAGUCGCAGGCUUUCAAUUAGUAGUUUCAGAGCAAAAAGAUGCAUCUCGUUUUUCAGUCAGUAAGGUAAGGCCGCUAGCAAGGAGGCAGAGUUCAAUAGGUGAACUCCUGAGUGAAAACAAAUAGAAUGAGAUACAUUAGCAGGAGAGUGCAAGUCAACAGUAUAAGCCUCUAAGCCUAUAAGCAAGUAUGCCACUAACAAGUAGAAGUUUGUGGGGAGGAAAUCCGACUUAAAGGAAGUAAGGGUAGGCUAACUAUAUCCAUGAAACCAGACUUGAAGGCAUUUGUUGAAGAAUAUAAGUCAAGAUUAGCAGAAUGAUAGUGCGGAUGGAUGAUAAGAUUGGUCUCGCGGGUGGGCUACCAAGAAAGUAAGGCGGUAGGACACACUGAGUUACAGGAGAGGCAGGCCCUAACUCAAACAUAGGCAUUUUUGGCAGUAGGGGAAGUUUGAAGCUAAGGAGAGGUCGUCUUGUCAGGAGUCGCUGGUUUCCUAUUUGUUAGUUCCUUUCAGAUUUUCCUAUUUGUUAGUUCCUUUCAGAUUAGUAUAGGAAUCAGACUUCACGAAAGGAUAGGCAAGGCAGACCAAUCUCCCCCAGGUAACAAGGCUCAUGGGCCGGAGUACAAGUUUGAAAGCAAAAGCAAGGACAGUGAGGGUUUCAGCAAGGCGGGUCAGCUUAGGUAGGGUAGCGAGCAAGGUUUGAGAUAAGUCAAGUAAGGUCGAUAAGUCGUAAAGUAAGGUUAGAGUCCUGUAGCUCUAUUCUGAUUAGCCUCAGUUCCGGUCUAAUAGAUAUAGUAAAGCAAGGCUUGGAGCCGCGGGUAUCAAGAUUGGAAGAAAGGCACGGCAGGAUAGCAAUCGAUCCUAGUAGUUAUGUUAAUAAAUUACUGUAUUAUUAGUUAACGGAAUACUUCAUUGAAUCAUUUUCUCAGAAAAUGCACAAGUAAUAAUACCAAGUGGAGCACUAAUAACGAGAUGCAGGAGAGGCUGACUCAACCAGGAGAUAUGAUAUGAUGGGAUCCGGAUCAGCAAUACAAGAGUCAAAGACAGAAAUAACAGAUUUAUGGGCAUGGUGAUUAUAAUAGGGGUUCGGGAAGGUUAGGCUCACUCUCAUUAGUAUUUGUAUAAGAGUCAAACAACAAAGCAAGUAUGCAGGGAAGUAGUGUUGUGAGGAUACCGGGCUAAAUGAACUAGUCCUGAGUAAGCUCUAAGACUAAUAGCGUAUAGUAAUAAUGGGCAAGCGGAUCAGAGAGGGCCAAGCAUUAAGGAAAGUGGUGGAAUUCUUUGUAUGUAUCUACCGUAAAGAGAGGGGAUAUCUAAGAUCUUAUCUUCCAAAGUUUCCUUUCAAUGAUAGGUGUAAGGUUACUCUAGUCAAUGAUGGGUGUAAGGUUACUCUAGUAUAGAACGGGUGUAAGGUUACUCUAGUAUAGAACGGGUGCUUGUGUUGAAACCUAACUGCUUCCUUCCAGCGAUUAGCUUUAACGGAGUUGUAUCUUAUCUUCCUUCUAGCUUUCACAGAGAGUUUCUAUUGGUGCCGAGUCGAGUGUUGUAGGAUUAGGCAGUUGAAGAGAGCGUUCAUCUUUGAGAAAUGAAUUCUUAACAAGAAGGGCGCCAACAUAGCUUGUCAAACUCACUUAUGGAAAAUGGAGUGCAUCAUCUAUUAUAGAAAUAUGGGAAACGACUACUAGAAUAAGAAUCAAGUCACCAAACUAGAAACUCCUCGCUCUUGCUUUAAGACUGGAGUGAAAAAGAAUAUGGGAGAGCGUUCCUGCUCUACCUAACAAAACUGUGCUAGCUCCACUUAAUAUGCAUGACAACUGAUAUAAGGGCGGAACCUUACUGCUUGUUAGCUUGUUUUUGCGCGGUUGCUUGUUCUCCUGACUCGUUGGAAGAGAAUGGAGCAUGACACAACAUAUAGAGAAAUAGUGACUCAACUGAUUGGUACUUUGAUUAUUGGCUUAUGAAGCGGUUAAGUAGAAAAGAAGGGGGAAAGCUAGUAAGUCUACUACCCUUGCCCGAGCUCACUAACGCACUUGCUUUGCUUGUUUAAGAUAGUGUGCAGGGAACUUAUAGAUUAAUAGUGACCAACCUGCUUACUGGAAAGUGGAAUCACUUAAAUCGGCACCGCUAUCUCUACAAUAGUACUGGAUUCUUGCCCUUGCUUGCUUGCUUUCUCAACAAUAAGAAAAGAAGAUAAUUGACUUGCUGGCUCUCUCAACAAUAAGAAAAGAAGACAAUUGUGCCACCCACCCACGCCAGAACUCCAAUAACCGUUAGCUCCACUCACUAACGCACAAACGGAACGUUGCUUGUUCCCCGCAACACCCAAUUGCUUCCUUUAAGAACGAAUAGAGGCACCCCGAAGUAAGCUCCCCGCUCUGCUACUGGAAACACUCUACUUUUGCCGCGCUGAGUCUUGUUCCGAGUCCACAAAGACUAUCAUUUCUUAUUGAUCGGUAAACUUUGAAUCCAACAACUCGAGAGUGGAUUCGGCUUCUAGAACUGGAACUGAGGCAGAUGCUGAUAUAUAAGUUGUUUUCGACCUUUACGUUUUCUCGUGUUUCCUCAUAACAGGAGCCAAAAGCAGGAAUUGUAAUGACUCGUAAUAGCUUGGCCUAUUGACUACCCUGUACAGGUGCUUUUCUCUCUAUUUACUACCUCGGACAGGACUAUCGGUUUCAUCACUCUUAUCUUAACCCCGAGUCGAAUCCUAUCAGUAAUCCUAUAAUAUGAUAUAUAAAGAUUAUGGAGGAGAAAAGUAGAAAAAGGGGAUGGAAAACUUCUAUGCUUAACACAAGCACUGAAUCCUAUGCUCUGUAAACCAAGACUCUCCUCUGGCUAUCAUCUAAUCUCACUCAAGCUACUAAUACAGAUGCAACAGGACCACUACACUACUGGUUGGGGCAGUAAACCUAGCUCCAUCCUCUAGCUACAACUACUAAUACAGAUGAAACCGAAACUCUCACCAUUAACAUAAGGGCUGGAACAGUAACAGGGCCAGCGACUACUACUACAACAACUCCGGUAUUUCACUAACCAAGCUACUAUACUAAUAGGAAUAAGGGAUACUAAAGAGAAGAGCCAAGUCACCACUUUCAUUCUCACUGCCCACCAGGUUGACGAACACAGUUAAGCUCCCGUUUUUAGCUCGCUACCGUUUCACUCCUACCGCGCCACGUUAGUAGUGGCUUGGUCAUUAGCAGUUCCUUGGUGGACUCAAAGGAAGGAAUUGUUAUAACAAGGUGACCAAUAGAUAUUUCCUAAGGUUGGUUUCUCUCCUGAGGCUUUCUUUGAAACUAUUAGUAUCAUUGAAUUGCUCACUUUUGGACAUGUGUGAAGUAGUCGAAACACAAAGCAUCUAUUCCUAUUGAUCACAGAAGAGUUAUAAGACAGGGUGUGUGUAUUAGGUCUCCUAUCUUACCCAUAUUCUUGCCUCAUUCUAGGAGUGAUAAGCAACGUUCGCAUCUUCUUGGGAGCUUCAUCUACUUUUCUUCUCCGUUCCAGAAAUGAUUUUAGUGCCUAUAAAACAGGGCAAUAACUCCCUUUAGCCAAUUACUGAAGGGCACAGGACUUGCUACUGAAAUAAGAAAGAGUUUCACAGAGGUUUGUAGACGAGAAAUCAUGGUUGACAGCCUUACCUUUACCUUAAUGCGCUUUACUUUCCCUUUACCCUUUAGUGGUCCAAGUCGAGUCGGUUCAGAUGCUUUGCUUGAUAAGGAGCAUAAGCAUAAGCCAGAUUAGAUUCCAAAGAAAGGGAAGCAGUUCAAUUCAAUGAAAAGGAAUGCUAAGCUGGUUCACUUGACAAAUAUUUCUAUACCAGAGCUCGCUAACACAUAAGUAUAAGCCCAUGUUUGUUCUUCUCAGCAACGGAAUAAGAAACUUUCGAGCGCUUACCACUGACUUUCGGGUUGGGAGCGAGUGAGUCCUGACUACAGGGAAGCUCUUUUGAGAUGAGGAUAUGACCAAUGAUUACCAAUCUUCCGACUAAAGUAAUAAGAGGAGUUCUACUUCACCUUAGAGAAAUAAGCCUUCUUUUCUUGCCUUCAAGGACGGAUAUACCCUAGACUGAGCACCCAAACCCAAAGAAAGAGACGAGACUGUAGUUUAUGAGUGGAAUACCCUUAAUUAGGAGUGGAAUCCCCAACCUGUUUAGUAGUCCUGUUUGUUGAAUCUGUAUUAGUUGACAGAGAAGAAUGAAGCGGGCCAGAAUACAGAACUUGAUAGCGUAUUCCCCUAUCUAAUGAAUUGAAUCUAAGGGAGAGAUCUAGCGCAUGCAGUAAUAGAUAUAGAAUUGGGUACGAUCUAGCGAGCAGGCCAUAAUACAUAACUGGUAGCGCAUCUGGUAGUUCAUAAGAAUGAAACCAAACUACUUGUAAGAAUGACACUAAAGCAUAAUCAUUAGAGCCAGAGUUAGAGGAGCCGAAGGAAGCAAGUAGUAAAUAGAGAAGUCGUUGCUAAGUAGUUGGCUUGGCCCCUAGGUUCGAAGUAGUUGCUAAGUAGUAGGCUUGGCCCCCGCAUCUAGUAUAAGUGGAAUGAUUUGUAUCAUCUGUGUUUGUAGUCGUUACUUGACCCACGAUGCUAUAGGGCUGUAGCUUGCCCGGGUAGCAAGUAGUAGAGGAGAGGUANNNNNNNNNNNNNNNNNNNNNNNNNNNNNNNNNNNNNNNNNNNNNNNNNNNNNNNNNNNNNNNNNNNNNNNNNNNNNNNNNNNNNNNNNNNNNNNNNNNNNNNNNNNNNNNNNNNNNNNNNNNNNNNNNNNNNNNNNNNNNNNNNNNNNNNNNNNNNNNNNNNNNNNNNNNNNNNNNNNNNNNNNNNNNNNNNNNNNNNNNNNNNNNNNNNNNNNNNNNNNNNNNNNNNNNNNNNNNNNNNNNNNNNNNNNNNNNNNNNNNNNNNNNNNNNNNNNNNNNNNNNNNNNNNNNNNNNNNNNNNNNNNNNNNNNNNNNNNNNNNNNNNNNNNNNNNNNNNNNNNNNNNNNNNNNNNNNNNNNNNNNNNNNNNNNNNNNNNNNNNNNNNNNNNNNNNNNNNNNNNNNNNNNNNNNNNNNNNNNNNNNNNNNNNNNNNNNNNNNNNNNNNNNNNNNNNNNNNNNNNNNUGCAGGUUUCUGAGUGGAAAUGAUGGAUUUCCCAUAAAACUAAAGACCAAGCAACUACUAGACAAACAACUAGUAAUGACCAAGCAACUAAGUAAGACGGGCAAGGCAAGUCACUUAUUCGCCAGUAAGUAGAAGGCUAUGAAGCAAUUUCAAGUGAGAAUGUCUCUAAGAGGUAAGCUAGUAGGAAAGUCAGAUAGAGUAAGUUGAUCCCUUAUUCUUAUUCUAGGUAUUGUUGACAGAGGAAUGGUUAGUUGACCAAGCCAGAGGUCAGAGGUCAGAUCCGGAUCGGGUACUAUUGCAACAGGGGUUCCGCCUCUACUUUCUUUCUUUAGAAAUAAGUCUACUUUCUUUCUUUAGAAAUAAGUCUACUUUCUUUCCUUAGAAAUAAGAAUAAUCAAAACGCGGAGGGCCAAGCAACGUAGUUAGUUGCGCGGCAGUCGAGUAACGAACGGGCCAAGACACUGGGCAAGGCCUAGAACACAACUUUCAUAAUCAACAAACUAAACAGUUUCUUUUGUUCUCUUACUUUCGAUGUCCCCUUAAGUAAUUGCAAGCAACUACCAAUGUAUAGCGGUAGGAGCUAUUGAGUUUAGCGUCAGUGAGCUAAAGUGCUAAAGGCGUGAAACUGUGUUCGUCAUAAAAAUGGGUGCUGUAGCUCCUAGUACUAGAGUAGGGGAAAUAAGAUCUUUGAUAUUACUGGCAAGGAAGCACGUAAGGGUGUUGCAAUACAAGAUAAGAGGCUAGAUCCGGAGCUGGCUCGUCUUAACCGAUGUUUGUAGUAGGAGUGAAAGGCUGACUUUUGUGGUUUCAUCCCCUUCAUGAGUAGUGGAAUGUAGUGGAAUGUUAUUAGUAGUGGAAUGUUGUAGUGGAAUGAUUUCCUAUUGUAUGCCGCUGCUUGCCCAAUUGCAUCUUUACUACCUAUGGCAACAGGCUCCAAUUCUGAAUUUCAUCUUUCUUGCGCUGAGUCAAAUCAAUACUUGUUGCUAAGGCAGCUAACUUACUUAAAUGCAGAAUAUGGGUCAGUAGACUAAACUCUAACUGCAGCCCUAUUAAUAAGGUUUCCUGUCACUCGAAACAAGACUUUCAGCGGGAAGUUCAUUGCCUGUUCUAGUUUACAGUGAAGUCGAUGAAGAAAUAGAUGUUCUAGUGAAUAAGCAAUGUUGCUACAGUUCUAGGAGAAGAAGCCCUAGAAUUGCCAGUAAUUGUUUCAUCCUAUAUAGAAGCUGCGCGAGUGUGGCUAAUUCUUUAUUAGAUCAGUUGGGGAGAAUGGAAUACCGGAGUCUGUUUCUUCACCAGGUGUUAAAGCCUAUAACUCUCCAUCCGGGUCAAGUACUGGCUUUUCAGCGGGGCCAAGCAACGACUACAAAAGCAUAGAAAGUCAUAAACUCAUAAGUCAGGAUACCCCGGCUUCAAUGCAAGAAACAAGGGCACAGCUUUUAGGUCAGUAAGGGAAGGCUCCAGAUUAGUAGCUGCAGAACCAAGAUAUGGAUUGGCAGAAUUAGAUAAAGGAGUGGCACGCUAUGACAAAAGAAAGGCGGGCUCAUGCACCGUAAAGCAAGGGUCGAAGUAAGCUGCUACAGACUGAAGGCAUGGUAGGCAGGUAUCGUAUUUGAAUUAAGUAAAGGGAGACUAUAACUAGGGCGAGGCUCACAGGCUGCGGUGAUAUCCGUAAAAUCAAAAGCCAGGCAUUAAGGCUGUAAGGGAAUACUCAUAGCGGGGAGGGGAAGAGCACCAGCUCCAUUCUUCUUUUUAGGGGUUUUCCGUUUGGUAGUUCUAAUCCAAUCCAGUAUAGAUAUAUACUCUGAGUUAAGAGCAAGAGGCUUGGAGACAGUUAAGUAAGCCCGGGCCCUUAGCAUAGGUAUUUGUAGUAUUGGCUCAAGUCUGACUGGGGUGAUUUUAGGCAGUAGUGCAUUCCCGGUGUGAGUUAAGGUCCCAUACGCCUGGUUUACACUCUUGUUAUCAAUAGUCAAAUUCUAGUUUACACUCUUGUUAUCAAUAGUCAAAUUAUAGAUCCCCAGUUGCUUUCUUGUUAGUGGUUGGAUAUGAGUUCGGUCCCUCGUUUGGAGUUGAAUUACCUAUAUGGAGUGAAAAAACGAGAAGUACCUGUGCUAUGCCUUCCAGUAGUAUGGUGGAUUCCCUACUAUAGGAGAAAGGAUAAGAAGCACUAGUUACAGGCCAAAAGCAAGGAUAUUAGAAUAGAAGCAAGGCCGAGAGACAGGCAAAUCAGACUUCAAAGAAAGGUAGACAGGCUCCUAGGCGUAAGUUAUAUUCUUUAUUAUCAGGUUUAAAGCAUUGUUAGCACUAGCGGAAGUCCGAGUUUCCAGCUUAAAUACUAUCAUUAGUUGUUGGUUUAUUUAACUAGCAAGCGAGGACCCGACUCCGGGGUUACAGCCUUAAAGGGGUAUAUUGAUUGGAAGAAUGAGUGAGGUAAGAAAGGAAGGCAGGAGCAGUGGUUUGGUAUUUAGCAUUGGAAGAAUCGGAAGGGAGAAGCUGGCUUCAAACAAUGAGUCGAAUAAUAAGAGAAAGGAGUAUCAGAAUGAGCUCCUAGGUAAAUGAAAAACAGAGGCAUUGCUGCUGCAACUAAAGAACGAAACUGGCACAUUCACAAGAGAAAUACUCCUUAUAGGGCUGACUACCCUACACUGAAACUCAGGCUUUCCUCGAUCGAAUUUGCAUCCUUCAAAUAAAUACUGGCAUUCCAGAGUUCGGCUCUAAGUCCCUGGAGGCCUAACGAGCUAGUAUGUCUCUAAGGAAAUGGAUUCUAAUACUCCCGGGGGGCCCGAUCAAUCUGUAGCUCACCGCUCACUCUUUGACUUACCUAUUCCAUUAUGUAUUCCCUUGAAGAGAUGCCAGGACCAAGACCUGAAACAAAGGCAAGCAAAUACUAGCUAUUAGGAUCGAACUCGGGCAUAGGAGAGGGCCUACCGAUACCUUAGAAGUGUUGCUUCCGAGCCGACACUCAAACCUUGCUUUACUGGGCACCUAAGCUUACUUACUGCUCCAUCGUUCUUUUACUACUCGAUCUCAGGUUGACUUCCAGGGAUCUUAUAUCCUCCUUAUUGCACCUAGGAUUCUUCUAACGCAAACUAACACUUCCCUGUAUAAAGAAGUAUGCCAACCCUUGCUGUCACUCUUUAACUACUUACUUGCUUUCUGGGUUUCUCACCUGUUAUAGCCUUCCCUGACUCGCGGAAAAUCUUAUAUCCACGACUGGAAGAGUGAGAGGAGCCAUUCCAUUCUCUAUUAGCUAUCAAAAAACGAAGUACCAAUUACACGGAUGAAAAGGUGUCUGCCCUGUCUCGGAGUAAUAGUCAGAAAUCUUCAUUAGUUUACAGAGGUACAGUAAAUGAAGUGAGAGGAGCGGUCUCAGAUCCUACUGAAGUUAUCAAAGAUGAAAUCCUAUCUCCCCUGCAAACAAGCUACUACUAAGUCCUGUGCCACUUAUAUAUCUGCAGCCUCUCUUAUCUUGUACUAAACUACUAGUUGGUGCUGUAAACUUUAAUAAGUAUUUGUUGGCCAUAAGAGAAGAGAUCCGAAUGAAUUGUUGCUAUCAAUAAGAGAAGAGAUCCGAAUUCUGUUAAUAGUUUGAAGCAGGGAGCUUAGAAUUACCUGGAAAGCUGGGCCCUUACUAUUAAUUGUGAGUUAGGUCUACAACCACUCCUAUAUAAGAUUGAAUGAAAGUUAGCCAAGAUAGAAUGCAAGUUUGACAGAGGAGAGGCGCAGGAGGUCUAUUCUGACUUAUGAGUUGAGAGCACUCGGGUAGCAAGAAAUAAGUCAAAUACUGGUUGGUUAAGAGCACUGCACGGCGGUUGGUUAUCAACAUCUAUUAUAGGCGAGGAGGGGGAAUCACUCUCAUUCUUCUUUUUCUGGACUUGGAGUUGAGAGAAACCAGCACUAGGUUUGCAGUCAAGCACAAUUCUGAAUUUAGAUAGAGGGCACAGUGAGUGACCUUAAUCUAUUAUACCCCACUCCGGCUAAUGAUUAUGUUUCUUCCGUUCAAGUUCCAUUCUCUCUUUUUGUGUUGGGAGUUCCACUCUUACUUUCUAUCCUUCUUUCGAGUCCAACACGAGUCAAACCCAACAACUAAUACUUUUCACGCGUUAGGAGAGUUCUUUGACUACUUGUACCAUAACUCUGGAAAGGCGUUUCACCCAGGACUUGCGCAUGGCCUACUUAUGAAUUCCUAACUCCUAACUCAACUCGCUUGUGACUUAUUCUUUCGAAAACCCCAAUACUGGAAUUUCCAUUAGCGCCCAAAACGAAACAAGCAAUGGAACAAACAAAGAAGUAAGAACUGGAACUGGAACUUUACUUCAAUGAAACUACUCCGAAGCGAAAGCAUCCUAACAUUAACGACUUGGCCCACUACAUGGCGUUGGGGCAUUUCACAGGACAAUGCGUAACUCCCGAAAACUGUCAUUGAUUAUAGUGAGCAUCAGAUUUGUCCCCUGCCUUGGAUCUUGAACUAUAAUUGUAAAGAACUCCUGGUUGCGCAACUCUAAACUACGGUUGACUCUCCUCUAUAUGAUGUGUGCACUUCUAUUUCUUUGAUUCCAUUAUUAAAGCAACAGCUCUCGCUAGGGCAAAAGAACAAGUAGAUGCCUACAGAACAAGCAAAUAAUUAGGACCCAGGCAAGGGAAUAAACUAGGGCUUAUGGAACUACACGAAACAACUGAAGUACAGAAGAGCUCUUGCUUUAAGAGACUUUCCAGAAGUACUACUUGACUUGGAUUGGACCCCAGUAAAGGUGUUAGAUGUGUUUUCCCUUCCCUUCUUUCUUUAAGGUGUGGUUUUCCCUGAUUGAUUUCUUUCUUGCUGACUUUUGAGUUGACUUACCUUAUCUGUUUCCGGAUUGAAAUGAUGGAUGUUCUACAUUAGUUUAGUACUAAGAAGAGGGCGUUGAAGCGAGAGGAGAAGCAAACAGUUCCGUGUAAUAAUCAGACAUUCCCCCAUGAAAAUCAAUAUAGAAAUAAAUAAAAGAAAUCCAUAUAGAUAUAAUAUGAUAUAAUAUGCACGCACAAGAGAUAGAGAAAAUGCAUUCUUCAGAGAGUCCAGGCCCAACAGAAGAAUAAGAGAAUGCCAAAGAAGCUGUUCGAGAAUCCGUAGUGAGAAAGUCACCACCAAGCGCAUCCGUCCUGAAUACGAGCUCUGUUCCAGUUGACAAGGAACAUUGCGAAAGAAGAAUAAGUCACGGCUUUAGCUCUACACUAAGCCUACGAAGGUGUCGCUCUAGCUCUCAGUAAUGACCAGAAUGGCCUGUUCCUGUAGUGGUAGCCUCUCUAACGAAACUUCUUAUCUGUGUUUCUUCAGCUACUGUUAGCAGAACUCCCUAUCGCUACAAAGCUCCUAACGCCAUGCGCGUACCCGAUCCCGCUCCUUAUUCUUCUUCUUAUAAUGAUCUUUCUUCUUUUCUUCUCCGAACUCUACCUUUCCCGCGGGCAACUUACUUGCUUACAGCUGAUUCUGUUGCCGUAGAGUUAUAUGGAGAAGUUAUUGUUUCACUUACAUUAGAUAGAGUGGGGUAAUCAAAUAGAUAGGUAGCAGAACCAGCAAGCUCAAGUGCUUCUGUCCUGAAGUAGCCUUCUGUUCGAGGUAAAGUAUCAAGUGUAGUAUCAACGGAUUUCCAUCCCUACAGCACUUGUUCAGUUUGCGCCCUAAGAGUGACUCUUACCCUUAGCACAAGGGCGACUACAAAUGAGAUCAUUGGCUACAUUAGCAAGAGAGCGAGCGGGCGUUGAAGCGCAAAGUUCAUGAGUUUUUCUAAGAAGCAGUUAUGAGAAGAAAGAAACAGUUAAGGCCGACUACACUCCGUUAGCUAGUUACGAAAGGAAAGGUUCGGAAAGACUAAGUGAAGUGAAAGAGCUGGAGGUCUAACAAACAGAAAGCGAAAGCUUGAAUAGUGUAUUGGUUAGCACCCCGAUGGUUGCCUUUUAGCGUAUACAGACCCAUGUUCUUAGUAGCCCACUAUGCGGUAUACAACUUAUUAGGUUUAGGCACACUAGUAUGAUAAAGAAUACCAAGGAAGGCAGUUUCAGUGGAAUGAUAAGACAGUUGGUUCAGAUAUCUCUGUUCCACUUUGAUAGUGAAGUUCUUUUUUCCACUCUGUCGGUUAAGGCGCUUGUCAGGAAAUAUUAGAAGUAUAAGAGGGAAGCAGCAAGCAAGAAGGAAAUAACACUUUUGAAUCGUACUAUUAAGAAGCCAAGCCGAGAUGAAGUAGUGAAGCUUUCAUUGAAGAAUGGAAUGGAACUGCUGCUGAAGCCGUAUAAAGAGAACGAUCUGAAGCCGAAACAAGAUAAGGAGAAGAAGCGGUUAGAAAGUAUGCUUAUGAAUUACCUGUUUAAGUGGAAUCGUAGUAUAAGUAAGCCGAAUGCUAAUCUACUGAAGCGGAGGAAAAUCGAGAAGUUCUGUUGCAGCAAGCGGGUCUGGGUCUGUUCCAGAAGUAGAAGAGAAUGCCCACGCCACUACUGCUUUCCCUAGAGCGCUUUCUUAUCUAUAGGAGCAAGACAUGUUGCAGCUAACGUUAGGGCAGACUUAGAGUAAAGAUAGGUUGGUUCCGGGGUUAACACUUAUUGGAGUGGAAGGCGAGGACAUAGGCAAGAGGCACUGUUAUCUACUACCGGGAGACUGGGCAACUACUACAAAGGCACAGAAAGUCAAUUGUACUUAUUGGUUUCAGUCUGACUUGAACCCUGAAACUAUAUUAUGAAAUAAGGAAAGAGCAACCAAGCAGACAGAAUAGUCAGUAUAAGAAUGGGAAGGAACUCUCAACAUAAUUGGUAUUGGUCCGGUACCUUGACCAAGUCCUAUGUUCGAGCGUCAGAGUUAGUGGCUCCCAGACUACUAUAAUAGCAGCCAAUAACGGAUCUUGUCUACUUUGCACUUGCUGCUGACUCAGUUGAUGCGGCUUAUGCGCAAGAAAGAAUGAUUUCAUUUCAUUUUAAGACAUAGCUCGGAAGGGACUCUCAAUCGGGUGUUCAAGUAUCUCGGAAGGGUGAACAAAGGACUAAAAAACAGGUUAACAAAGGACUCGUUUAUAACUAGUUAGAACCAACCUCGUAUGUGCUCCCUCUAAGAAUUGAGUUUGAUACUUCCUAGGCCUUGUUGCGAAGGUUUCUAAUGGUUACUUGCCUUACAGAGUUACCUUAUACUAACUGCCUUUUAGCUUAUAACCUUAUAGCUUAUAAGUAAUUAACUGCUUCCUCGCCUCUCCUCUGUCUCUUAACUACUCUCCUAUUGCCCCAACUCUACUACUAGGAGAUACAGCACCAACACAAUACUUUAUCACUCCCCAGUUGCAGAAGCACCCAAAGACACUCUGUUUGAAGAGCCAAGCAACUCGCAACUACCAAAUAUUUAAGUAGAGGCCGAACAAGACUCUGUCCUUAAUACAUAGCUCAUUCUGAUGUUUCCCCGGAAUCAGUGAAAUUGGAACUUUACUACUUUAGGCUUAGGCUCCUCUCUGGCUCUGUGAACUCGGUCUUCAACAAGAAAGUAGGCAAGUAAAGAAUCCAACUAGUAAGUUGAAGAAUCAAGUACUUGCCUUGAAGCCAUUAGUGUUCGUUACUGCCGCGUAACCGCUAACUGCUAUCAUAAUACCACUAAUACGGAUAAAAGACUCUUACCUAUGAUAAGGAAUGACCCCGAGGCAUUAAUAGGAUGUCAACCGCCACCAAGAGAUAGGAUGUAAACCAGCUUAGCUCGAGUGCCGGGCUCGCUCCUACUACUCCGCCCAGCAAGCACACGUUAUUUUGAGCAUUAGUAAGAGGCUAUAGCGCAUCUAGUAAUAGACUAAUUGCCUAACCACAGGAGCAACCAGUGCCCGCCGACAAUCGAACAUAGGAAACAAACACCGGGCAAGCAACUACUAACGACCAAGCAACGGCUAGUUAUGGCUACGAUCUAGCGCAUAGGGAAAGUCGAAGGUAGAAGUAGAAGACGGGUACGAUCUAGUAAUGAUAUAGCAAGUAAGUCAAGUAAGCAGUUAGAGCUGAUCCUGUUCAUGCUUCUGAGCCAUAUCCAGCUCUAGCAAGACUAGAAGUACUAGAUGCGCCAAGUAACUACUAAUGUGUAGCGGCAGGAGCCUUAUUGGCUUUUUCAAUACAAUAAGAAUACUUGAAGGAAUAAUACUUGUUUGCCAUGUUAGCACAACGGCGAACUCUAUCACGCAGUCUACUUAACCUAACCGACGCAGAGCUUCCAGAUACGACUAGAAUUCCCCUUUCGAUAAGUGCAAGCAGAACAGUCAAGUCAGUCACAUAAGAUCAGAACCAUAAGCAGGAGAAGUGAAGUAGAAAGUAUAAAGUCAAGUCAAAGGUAUCUCCUAAGGUGAUAGAAUAGAAUGAGCAGACCUACUUACUGCAAAGCAAUGUUACAUUUGAUGAGUUAACCCGAGACUCGAAUCAAAGCCAACAAGACUUGUAUGCCUGGUGAGCUGUUUGAUGAAAUUCUACCCUUAAACUAGUAGCUCCGGUGGGGCAUGUUUACAUACAUGUUAGGCUAGGGUGGUUCCAGAGAGUUAAGUGACUUGUAUGGGUGGGUUACGGCAACUAUAUCUUAUUUGAAUCUUAUAUAGAAUAGAAGCCUCGAAGCCUCAUCUCCGUUUGAAUGCCCGCGGUGUAUCAAGUGAGCGAGAAAGAAGAGAGAUAGAAUCCUUAUUAGCAUAGGUUACCAUAGGCUAGUAGACUCAACUCAAAUCGUAGGGCUUGACCGAGAAAGAAAGAAGCUCCGUAUUUGCCUCUUGACCAAGCUCACGUUGCUUGUUCAGUGUACUUUACUGAUGGAUCUGCUCUACCUAACCAAACUGUCUAGUCGACUCCCCGAGGUAACCAAGCUGCUUACUCUCAUAUCUAAACUCGGAAACUGUCUGUUAAUCAUAUGUGUGGCCUCUGCCUCUGUCCUGAAAGCCGUAACUGGGGUCAACCUCUUUUGAGCCUAACCUAAUGCUUCAAAACGGACUGCUGACUGCUUUCAUUGCACUACUUAUGUAUCUGAAUCUUAGUAACCAACUCGAAACUAACUUAUUGAAACAAAGUAAGGCGGGAAAGACAGAAUGGAAAAGUGGUGAUGUUCAGAAGAAUUAGUUGAAAGCCAGGUCUGAAGCAGCCCUUAAGUAAAUAGCAGUGCAAGCCAGAGUCGAGUCUAGGUAGGCAAGGGGACAGCCAAUCAUUGAAUGCGCUAGGAGGUAGUGUAAUCCCCUGUUCUUGUUCUGAAGAUUGGUUAUAGGCAAAUAUGUCACUAAUUUCUACUUCUUAAACUAAUAGGCAUGUGACACUUAGCUACUUUCUGAAUGUUACUAAAAGCGGUCCGAGAGAGAACCAAGCCUUUCCCUGUGCUCUGAACCAACCUCGCAACUAGGAAGCUGAGACGUAAGACCUAAAUACAGCUGAUGAUCCGUACUUUGAAUCUACUGUUGGAUCUAAUACUCUAUCCGCUGACUUUGAAUCCACUACUGCUGUAUCCGCUCUAACUGCUUCCUUUGACCCUGCUUCCCUAAUUGUGACUCAUUUCUGUCUGUCUUUCUUUCCCGCUGGAAUUGAUAGAGUGAACUUCAAAACAAGAGCUUAAAGGACAAGCGACUAUUCUUAUACUUAGUGGCUGCAUUCUACUACUUAUGAUCCUGAUCUGUCAACAGCAAAGACGACCUCUUUUCCUUGGUUGCACACCUCGCCUCCCCCCUGGCUCCUAUUGUUUAGUAUAUACUCGAUGGAAUUCAUUGAUAUUGAUUUGAUUCUACUGUGUGUCUACGGAGUCUUUAGAGGAUAAAGAUAUCUUUGUUGAUAGUUUUGAUAAUUUAUUUGAUUUCAUUUCACCACCCACCAAGUCACUGUUAAUGUGAUGCGGCAGUGAGUGAGCUUGAAGAGAUCUUUUCCAAUGCCAAGUCACUCCUAAUGUGUAGCGGCAGUGGCCAAGUAACUACUAAUGUUACGCGGCAGCCAAUAAACAGUUAUAACGGCCAAGCAACUACUAACGACCGCCAAGACACUACUAACGUGGCGCGGCAGUGAGUUUUAGGCGGCGCAAGACGUUGGGCGGUAGCAAUAGUAACAUAUAUUACAAGUUAUUACAAUAGAUGCUUUUGGGGCCGCUCCACUCUUCGGAGUGAGGAGUGAGUUUAAGCCUUGGACGAGUGAGUUGGAGACCCUAGCUACAUAACAUCAGUCCGAGUAGGCACCGAAUCAGUCUUAGGACUGCUACACCGCAUCAGGCUUACUAGCUUAAUACCCAUACCGAGCAGCCACAACAUCAGGCUUGGACUCCUUAGCUUCAUUCUCUAGCUCCCCUUGCUUCCAGGCUUGCUGUUAGUGGUUUCAGUAGUAAGUGGGUCUGCUCCUGUUCUUGCCCUUAAGUAAAUGGGUGAGGCGUGUUUGUUGGGUGGGUCUUCCGUAUUUGAUUUAGUAGUUGGGUAAUGAGAUAAAGUAGUGAAAUCAUGAGAGCAAGUUAUAAGUAUACUGGAGAUAUAGGCUAUUAAGGCAGUCAGGUAAGACUAGAGCCUAGCGUAGUUGCUUGUCGGGUCCAAUCUAAUAGCUUUGCCUUACUUAUUGGAUUCCCCGUUAGUAGUUAAGGUAUUGCUACCGUUUUAUGCCUCGAUUCAUUUCCUGUUAGCUGUGAUUGAAGUCUGAGAAGCAUUAUUUCCAUUCUGUUAUUGGUAGUAACUAUAGCCCUGGUUCCUAGCUCGAGUAGUAGAAGUCAAAGUAGAAUGAAACCCCCACUAAGCGGAACUUAACUAAGGAAUGUCGGUUUCCCUGGCAUGAGUAGAAGAAUCAAAGUAAGUAGAUCCAUUCUCGUCUGUAAGUAAAAGGAUUACCCUAGCUCUAAACUCGUUCUGUAGUUAUUGACUUUGGUUCUUUAGCGGCUGGGACCAGAUCUUGCUUGACUCACUAUGAUCCUUACUUUCCGGCAUUCUAUCUUAUACUAAUACUAAUGAAACUUAUACUACUAUUGCCAACGACGUUCCAUUCCUGAUGAGUUGGUCUCCUACUUGCCUACUAGCUCACCUCUCUUAACUACCAGCUCACCUCUGAGUUUGAUUCUGAUCUACUACCCUGUUUAAGCCUUGGAAGCACGGGUUUGGUUCUGUAACACCCUAGGUUGAUUCUUGCUGUCACUGGUUCGGUUCUUACUAGCAGUGGCUGUAGUCCGAUUGUGCACCGUAUCAGGCUCGGAAGCUCGGGUUUGGUUCUGUAACUCCCUGGUUUGAUUCCGAUUGGUAUUGAUUGAAGCCUUAGCAACAGUAGUGUGAGACCUCAGCUACCAAUACAGAGAAUCAGCAGCAGCAGUGCCAGUCUACUCAACACUGGUUGAAGCCUGAGCAACACUGGGUUAAGGCUUGGUAGCUGUGGGUUAAGGCUGAGUCUACUCGGUCUCAUUCUUUAACUCCCCGGUCUCAUUCUCUUUGUUAGUAGCUAUAGUCUGUAACUCCCUUGUCUUAGCCCUGUUGUUACUGCUUUCAGGCUUAGCUUAGUUAGCUCCGUUCUCGCUUUAAGCCUUGGAUUCACUGGUUUGGUUCUGAGUAUACCCUAGCAUCCAGUCCGAGUAGGCACCGCAUAAGUCUUGAAACAGAGACCCGAGCUACCAAUACAAAUACUUUAGCUAACCGGCAUCAGGCUUAGAUGCAGUGGGUGAAGGAUUGCUAUCAGUGGUUAGAAGUGGUUGAAGGAUUGCUAUCAGUGGUUAGAAUGAGUGGCACUGGGUUGGUUCUGAGUUGUCCCAGGCUCAGUCCGAGUCUACCCGGUCUCAUUCUGUGAUGGGUGAGGUUCAUUCUGAGUACUAUAUGAGGAGUUCUGGUCAUACCAGGCUGAUCGGAUCUAGUAUAAGUCUGCCCAGCACCGGUUGAAGGCUGUUCCUCAUAAGUAUCGGGCUUGCUAGCACUGGUUGGAGUCUUGAACGACCUUGUUUAAGUCUUUGGACUCCUUUGGUUGAAGCCUGAUAGUUAGGUGUUUGGCCCUAAGCUUGGUGCUACACAUUAUCCGUGACUCGGGGCCCCUAUCAAAUCAUAUAAUCAUAUAUAAAUUGGAUCUAUCUUUAGAAGGGAUCAAAGAUGAAACAGCUUCCCAACCCGACCUAUUCUCUUAUAAGUGCCCGACCUCGACUCAGGCUCAUCUCAUCUCAUAAGACUUCUAGCUACCCUUGAUUGACUUCCCCAUAAGACUUCUGGCUCACAAACCACAUAGCAUGUAGGCCUACUAACCAAGCUACCACUACUGGGGCAAAUCCACUACUACCCGAAGAAGGUACUCUCUUUCUUUUGACUACCUCGACUAUGGACUAGAGCAUCUCUGAUACCUUAAUUCUCACUUGCAUUGCAAUUGGAACUCCCGGCUCAACUCCCUUCCUUCUUACUAGCUUCUUUAAUAACUAUAGCUCAUCCACCUCUUUUUCUUUGAACUCUCCUAUUGCUCUUUGAACUCAUUAGUGACUUUCUUUCCUUACCGCUUCUAAGCUUGUCUAGUCCAACUCCUGCCGACCUAAACUUGAAUGGCAGCUUUCUUUCUUUCCUUCCCACUACAACACAAGACUUGAGAUCAGUAGGUUGAUACCAGAAUUAGGCUCUCUUCUUUUCUUGCCACAACACCUUUACUAGUAAUUAAUUCUUUCCUCUUGACUAAUGAAGACUUAUAAACAAGCACCACCACUGUAAAUCUGUUGACUCCUUACUGACUCUCGGGCGAACAUCCUAUAAGAAGUUAUUUCACUCUAUAGUUUACUUACCGCACCUGGGUUUAGUUAUAGGGCUGGCAAGGUUUACAAUAAGGGUUAACCGAGUUUCAUAAGUUCUCAAUUCCCCGGGUUUUCUCGAUGCAAAUCUGUCUGCUUGUCCCGCUUGUCCUCUCUUAUCCCUACUAAAUAAGGGUGAAGGCUGUAAACCCUCUAUACACUCUAAUUAUUCAGUCAAUUCAUAAAGUACAGAAGCCUGAGCCAGGUAAGUAGGAGCAAGAGCAGAGUAGACCCUAUUUCGACUCCGAUAAGAAUAUAGCAAGUCGGACCCGAUCCUGAUCUUACCUCUGACCUCAACACCCUACUUGAGAACUGAGUUGAACUGAAUUGAACUACUAAGUAAGGGAGAUAUCCUUUCAGCCUCUACUUUCUUUGGAACCAUCAAGAUAUGGGUAGAAAAUGCACUAUCACAGCACUUAUUGAGUUUGAUGGCAAAUGACCUAUGUUGCCUCAGGAAAUGCGCUUAUAGUUCUUUUUUGUCAUGAAAGAUAGCCCUACUUCAAUACUGGUUAGGUGCCUGUGUUUGGGUGGUUCUCGCAACUCAUCAUUCUAUUCCAAUACUCGGAUAGUUGUUUUAUUCCUUCAAUUGACUAGCGGCCCUGGAAUUCAACAACCUGCUUGCUACAUCGGAUCGGUGACGACUUGGACCACUUCAAGGGAAAGCUAUCAAAUAGGCCCUAAGAGUGUUUUAAGCCAACACGUAUUACUUGAGAACUGGAGCUUAUCGAGUCGAUAACACUAUAAUGAAACCAACUCUUUGGACUGCACCUCGCUCGUGUUUUAGAAUGACUCGAAUGGAAUAUCUCCCUGAUUACCCUUAUUCCUUUAGAUACUCAACACCCGGAAACUCACUGCUUCCUGCUGGCUCCUUAGUCAUAACACUUGGUGAACGAUCCCUUGCUUCCUCACUGCUUGAGCAACUAAGUAUAGGGCUAGGGCCGAGUCUUCAGGAAAAGAUGCAUUUCUUAACAGUUAUGCUCUAUAUCUAAAACAUAGGAAUUUGGAUCUCUUGUGCAACAAAUCAUUCUUCAAUAUGGAAUUUCACUGCAUGUCAGUCAUAUAAUAAAGAAUUGAGCAGCUCACUGGAACUGUCCCCUGCGCAGAAUUCAAUAGCUUUAUCCAUUACAGUUGCUUAUUCGGGAAAGAGGGAAUCUCAGUAAGAAUCUCCGGUCCACUUUCCUUGCUGCUGACUUUAGUCUUAACCGAUUAACAGCAUAUUAUCAGGCUGCGGAUCUCCACUAGAAAGUUUGAAUGGAAUAUGGAAACAGCAUCUUCUCGAGUCGACAACAAAAGAACAGGUGGCCGAUAAGGAAGGAGCUACUGUGCCGACAUAAGAAUCAAUCUUUACUGCAACACUCGUAGCAACCAACUCUACUGAUUGACUUAGCGCUUACUUUAGCAUUAAUCGUUGUAGUGAGGCCGCUUCUUCUCUCGUAGAUAACGUAGACAACACUUCUGGACUUGAAGCUUGCUGAAGACUUAAGACUUUACCGCUUCACCUCUGUUCUUGGCUAGAAAAGGAACAGAUUGUCCCGCUGUAGCACAACUCACAUCAGACUCUCGGUCUGGGGGGCGCUAGAGUUUUUUUUGCUUGUUCCCCGAAACCCCAAUCAGCGUCAGCGUCCCGAAUAACAAUAAGCUAAGAAGCUCGCUCUGGAGGGUUGCAAUCAAAUAGCCCGGCGCACAUUGGCUUCUCUUCUGGAACUGGUAUUCUAUGAAAGGUACUUAGUUUAUUGAGUUGGACCAUAAUCUAAUCUCGGUUAAAAGACUGUCAAUCAGGCAACUCUCUUUGUUUAACGGUGUUGGCUGUCGGCUAUUCUCUUUGUGCCUGUGAACCUCUAUUCCAUUCCUCUAGAGUAGAAUCCUAUAAAGAAGAUGAUCUAUUUUCGAAUGCCCACCCCAACACUUAACUCAAUCUUUCGAGCACCCGUACUCGUGGACAACAAAGACAGAUACAGAUGAUUUCAUAUGGACUUGUUAUUAAUACCGGUGAACAAAGGACUUGGUAAUAACUCUACGGAGAAAGGACUUGCUCAUUAACCUUAGGACUUGUUAUUGAAAGAGCUGAUCUUCCUUUUGAUUCUAUAUGUUGGACAACUUCUUUCUGUCCAGCUUAGCUUACCACUGACAACCGCCAAGCAACGGCGCGCCAAGCAACGACUACAAACGGCCAAGCAACUAGACAAGUAACUACUAAUGUUACGCGUCAGCAGCAAUAAGUAGUUAUAACUUAGUUAUAACUAUUCCUUUGUUUGUGUUGCGCGGCAGCUGUUUUGCCCAAUAGACAUGGUUAUAAUUAAGUUAUUCCGGAGUCCUUAUACGAUGUAUCCUUACUUAUGAGUUUCCCACUUCUGACUAAAUAAAGUCUGGAUUUAGAGUUUAGGUCUUCUACUUAUAGGUCUUAUACCAGAGUUUGGGAUGGGGAUUGCACUCUACCUCUUAUCUUAUAGCUCUGUUCUCUAGUCCAGGAUACUAUAAUACUGACUGGACACUACAAUACUUACUUUUUAGUUCAAUUCCUCCAGUAGUGGGUGCGUUACCAUUCUGCCACUAAUGGAUUGAGUUCCUCAUUUACUACUUGAGAGCUUUGGCACAAAACCUCUACCCUACUUUUUCUUAGAAUUACAAGACUCACAUUCUGUGACUUUUCUUUCAUUCCCCUAAGUACUAGAGUAUCCCUCUUGGCCUGAGACUUGCUUGUUUGAUUCUGCCCUGCGGGGGAAUAAACCAUUCUUAUAAUAGCUAUUUGCAUUCUGUAUUGCCAUGUCUUACUUUCCUAGUUAAGAGUGGAAUCUGUGGCUGCCCUUGCUUACUGUUAUAGGUUGAACUCCCCUAAAGACUAGUAGAGUACCUAAAAAGUCAUUCCGAUUAGUCACAUACCGACUCUUCCAAGUAUUCCGAUUAGUCCCAUACCUUACGAUAUUUGUAUUAGAGCUCGCCCAGCAGGACAGGUACCCUGACUUUCAACUUCACUUAAAGAACUCUACCUCACCAUUCUCUAUUCCGUGUUUCGCUCUUUUACUUACUUGUUUGAUUCCUAUGGAGCUCCUUCAUUCUGUAUUUACUAGUUUUUUGUAUUCUUCCUUAGCAGAAAAGGGAUUAUAGUAUAGGGUUGCCUACACACACCGGUUAUUCUUGUCAGUAGUUAUUUGAUUCUUAUAGGAGUGAGUAGUUGCUCGCCUUUGUUUUAGCAGUUGCCUGCCGAGUCUCAUUCUUCUGCUGUAGCUUCGGUCUGGUACUUCUGUGUUCCAUGCCGGAUUUCCUGUUUGAUGCUCCCCCAACAAAUAGAAUUGAAGACAACCAAUAAAGUCAGAAUUACCCUCCUGCUAGCAAGACUAUAGCUUGUAGUAACUCGGAGUCGAACUUAGUCCUAUAAGAAUUGAAGUGCAGGGGACUAGUAUAGUUUCUUCUUGGGGUGCUAGCUUGAGUGAAGUAGAAUCUCUUUGAGGGCGAGUGGAGUGCGGUUCAUAAAGUGGAGAGUAAGGAUCAAGCC
RNAcentral lists this long non-coding RNA (28312 nucleotides) under Musa acuminata (dwarf banana). RNAcentral describes it as "long non-coding RNA (MACU_LNC008098)". The record is from RNAcentral. Lineage: Eukaryota; Viridiplantae; Streptophyta; Magnoliopsida; Zingiberales; Musaceae.